CCCCUAGAUGUUCUGGGCCGCACGCGCGCUACACUGAACAGUUCAACAAGUCUUAACCUUGGCCGAUAGGUCUGGGUAAUCUUUGAACGCUGUUCGUGAUUGGGAUAGACCUUUGCAAUUAUGGGUCUUCAACGAGGAAUUCCUAGUAAACGCAAGUCAUCAGCUUGCAUUGAUUACGUCCCUGCCCUUUGUACACACCGUCCGUCGCUCCUACCGAUUGAGUGAUCCGGUGAAUAAUUCGGACUGCGGCAUUGACCGGUUCCCGAUCGUUGCUGCGGAAAGUUUAGUGAACCUUAUCACUUAGAGGAAGGAGAAGUCGUANCA
Molecule: ribosomal RNA, 324 nt
Filed under: uncultured eukaryote
Lineage: Eukaryota
Description: partial 18S ribosomal RNA
Rfam family: Eukaryotic small subunit ribosomal RNA
Source: RNAcentral